RNAcentral lists this ribosomal RNA (255 nucleotides) under uncultured bacterium. RNAcentral's name for it is "partial 16S ribosomal RNA". It matches the Rfam family "Bacterial small subunit ribosomal RNA", at positions 524 to 777 of the family's 1533-position model. The record is from RNAcentral.
UACGUAGGGUGCAAGCGUUGUCCGGAAUUAUUGGGCGUAAAGAGCUCGUAGGCGGUCUGUCGCGUCGGCUGUGAAAUCCCGAGGCUCAACCUCGGGUCUGCAGUCGAUACGGGCAAACUAGAGUAUUGCAGGGGAGACUGGAAUUCCUGGUGUAGCGGUGAAAUGCGCAGAUAUCAGGAGGAACACCGGUGGCGAAGGCGGGUCUCUGGGCCGAUACUGACGCUGAGGAGCGAAAGCGUGGGGGAGCGAACAGGG